Capsicum annuum is the source of this 1499-nucleotide non-coding RNA. The record is from Rfam. Lineage: Eukaryota; Viridiplantae; Streptophyta; Magnoliopsida; Solanales; Solanaceae.
CUCAUGGAGAGUUUGAUCCUGGCACAGGAUGAACGCUGGCGACAUGCUUAACACAUGAAAGUCGAAUGGGAAACACGAGAAACGACAUUUCUAGUGUAAGACAGGUGAGUAAUGCAUAAGAACCUGCCCUCGGGAGGGGAACAACAGCUGGAAACGGUUGCUAAUACCUCGUAGGCUGAGGAGAAAAAGGAGGAAUCCACCCGAGAAGGGGCUCGUAUCUGAUUAGCUAGUUGGUGAGGCAAUAGCUUACCAAGGUGAUGAUCAGUAGCUGGUCCAAGAGGAUGAUCAACCACACUGGGAUUGAGACAUGACCCAGACUCCUAUGGGAGGCAGCAGUAGGGAAUUUUCCAUAAUGGGCAAAAGCAUGAUGGAGCAAUGCCGCCUGGAGGUAGAAGGCCCAUGGGUCGUGAACUUCUUUUCCCAAAGAAGAAAAAAUGACGGUAUCUGGGGAAUAAGCAUCAUCUAACUCUGUGCCAGCAGCCGUGGUAAUACAGAGGAUGCAAGUGUUAUCCAGAAUGAUUGAGCAUAAAGCAUCUGUAGGUGGCUUUUUAACUCCGCCGUCAAAUGCCAGGGCUUAACCCUGGACAGGUGGUAGAAGCUACCAAGCUGGAGUACGGUAGGGGCAGAGCGAAUUUCUAGUAGAGUGGUGAAAUGCGUAGAGAUCAGAAAGAAUACCAAUGGCGAAAGCACUCUACUGGGUCGACACUGACACUGAGAGAUGAAAGCUAGGGGAGCAAAUGGGAUUAGAUACCCCAGUAUUCUUAGACAUAAAUGAUGGAUACUAGGUGCUAUGUGUGUCGACCCGUGCAGUGCUGUAGCUAACACAUUAAGUAUCCUACCUGGGGAGUACGUUCGUAAAAAUAAAACUCAAAGGAAAUGACGGGGGCCCAGACAAGCGGUGGAGCAUAUGGUUUAAUUUGAUGCAAAGCGAAUAAACUUACUAGGGCUUGACAUGCCGCGAAUCCUCUUGAAAGAGAAGGGUGCCUUUGGGCAAGCGGACACAAGUGGAGCAUGGCUGUCGUCAGCUUGUGCUGUAAGGUGUUGAGUUAAGUUCCGCAACAAGCGCAACCCUCGUGUUUAGUUGACAUUGUUGAUUUUUGAACCCUAAAUAGGUUGCCGGUGAUAAGACGGAGGAAGGUGAGGAUGACAUCAAGUUAUCAUGCCCCUUAUGCCUUGGGCGACAUAUGUGCUACAAUCGCCGGGAUAAAAGGUCGCUAUCCCACGAGGGUGAGCUAACCCCAAAAUCCCAUUCUCAAUUUUGAUUGUAGGCUACAAGUCACCUGCAUGAAGUCGAAAUUGCUAGUAAUCGUCGGUCAGCUAUACGGCAGUGAAUUCGUUCCCGGGCCUUGUACAAACUGCCCAUCACACUAUGGGAGCUGACCAUGCCCAAAGUCAUUACCUUAAUCGCAAGAAGGGGGAUGUCGAAGGCAGGGCUAGUUACUGGAGUGAAGUUAUUAGAAGGUAGCCAUACUAGAAGUUGCGGCUGGAUCACCUCUUUU